CCCAAGUGUUUUCCAAGCAAGUGUCCUUAAUAUUUUCCCCUGUGGUGGUGGUAAGGAUAUAUCUAUAUUUUUUAGUAGAACUGGAACCAAAUAUCACUGAAUCAAAGAAGCCUGCAUUAAUCAAAGCACAUCAAAGAGGUUCCUCAUCAGUUGCCUGGAGCAACAGAAUCUACAGUGUAUCAUCUUUCUUAUGCUAAGCUGGAGGAAUUUAGAGGAAAUAAAUUUGUCUCUUUGCUCUCAAACGAACACAGAAAUAGUAUUUUCAAGGCUUCUUAAAUAGUUCAGUGAAUUGGACUGUUUAGCCAUUGUAAUUUCUGAGUCCCAGACCUACAGUUCUGGGGAAUGUUUUUCAAAUGAAAAUCAAUCAAACCAAAGUUUAAAACUAAAUACGUGAGGGAUUUGCCCCUCUUGACAAAGUUACAUAGGUGCUUCCCACUCUUAUGUUGUCUCUUUCUUUACUCUCUUCCUAGGAUAUUAAAAUGGUACCCCUGUGACUCCUCGUUGCCUCACUAGAGAUGCAUAAUAUUCUUAGCUAACAGAAGGAGGAAACAUGUCAGCUAAACAAAGGGGAUAAAUAUGGCCUUUUGAAGAGCAGCCAUGGCAGAGUGCUAUAUAGGACUAUGGAGAAUUAUCAACAGGCUUUUGCUUUAGCAAAUGUCAUGCUACCAGAAGAAUGGUGCAGUUUGCGGUGGCAUCCAGCCAGUACCCUCUCAUGAGGAAGAAUCAAUUUGCAAGGUAUUGAGUAAAGCCGCGGGCUCUGCCUUGGAGAGGUGACCACCCAUGAAAACAACUGACAUGAAAAGACCGCAAGGUAUGACAGUGAAUACUUAUUAAAAGCGUACCUUUGCUGCAAAUGAGCACGUGGAAACACUUUGGCAACAGGGACAGUUAUAAAGCCUCUGAAAUUAAGUUUGGUAGAAG
This 921-nucleotide long non-coding RNA is filed under the name Anas platyrhynchos platyrhynchos (common mallard). RNAcentral describes it as "lncRNA (ENSAPLG00000020246.1)". The record is from RNAcentral. Lineage: Eukaryota; Metazoa; Chordata; Aves; Anseriformes; Anatidae.